AAAACGGCCCUUUUUAGGGCCACGCAAAUUUGAUUUAUUUUUCUUU
Non-coding RNA from Echinostoma caproni, 46 nucleotides. Lineage: Eukaryota; Metazoa; Platyhelminthes; Trematoda; Plagiorchiida; Echinostomatidae. The record is from Rfam.